CUACACAUGCAAGUCGAACGGCAGCACAGGAGAGCUUGCUCUCUGGGUGGCGAGUGGCGGACGGGUGAGGAAUACAUCGGAAUCUACUCUGUCGUGGGGGAUAACGUAGGGAAACUUACGCUAAUACCGCAUACGACCUACGGGUGAAAGCAGGGGAUCUUCGGACCUUGCGCGAUUGAAUGAGCCGAUGUCGGAUUAGCUAGUUGGCGGGGUAAAGGCCCACCAAGGCGACGAUCCGUAGCUGGUCUGAGAGGAUGAUCAGCCACACUGGAACUGAGACACGGUCCAGACUCCUACGGGAGGCAGCAGUGGGGAAUAUUGGACAAUGGGCGCAAGCCUGAUCCAGCCAUACCGCGUGGGUGAAGAAGGCCUUCGGGUUGUAAAGCCCUUUUGUUGGGAAAGAAAUCCAGCUGGCUAAUACCCGGUUGGGAUGACGGUACCCAAAGAA
RNAcentral lists this ribosomal RNA (448 nucleotides) under Stenotrophomonas maltophilia. RNAcentral's name for it is "bacterial SSU rRNA". It matches the Rfam family "Bacterial small subunit ribosomal RNA", at positions 49 to 486 of the family's 1533-position model. The record is from RNAcentral. Lineage: Bacteria; Pseudomonadati; Pseudomonadota; Gammaproteobacteria; Lysobacterales; Lysobacteraceae.